Toxorhynchites rutilus septentrionalis is the source of this 850-nucleotide long non-coding RNA. RefSeq lists it as uncharacterized. The record is from RefSeq and is a predicted model, not a curated record. The transcript is spliced from 3 exons. Lineage: Eukaryota; Metazoa; Arthropoda; Insecta; Diptera; Culicidae.
CAGUGCGGCGACUGCAUGAUGAAAGCAGCCCUCAAAACAGCAUCGGUAAAAACAGAUAUCUUCACAUACACGCAGUUCGCGAGAAGGACUCCUUUCGGCUACGGCCAGGCGUCUCCAUUGCCCACCACCCACUGACUAACUGACGGUUCGGCGUUUCGAGUUCGGGUUUCUGCGACAGUUCACAACCGCCGCACCACUCUAGCGAGAAGUGGCCAAAUAUGCGUGCUUUCUCUCGUGCUCUAGACCAUACAGAGGAUUACAGGGGCGCCAAAUAGUAUUUUUAUGCGUUCGAAAUACUUAGCAUAGUGUACUUGAAUCUGAGAGUGCCAUAUACGAAAUUCUUUAAGUUCCCAAAUUGGCAUCACUGUUAUUAACCACUAAAAAGGUAUAGCACACAUACCAUCAUUCACAUUGUCGCCACCGAUUCACAAUCACAACGGAACGAAGCGGCUAAGUGAUCCUUCGGAAGUGCCGCUGGCAAACGCUACUACUCUAAUCUGCUCCCAGUUGUUCUAUAGUUGGAGUUUUAUUAUGCUGUUUUGAUGUUUAUUUUUAUUUUGCUUCAUUAAUAUUUGGUCGGCUAUGUAUGUAUGGAACGUGGAGCCGCGCGCGCUGCUGGUGCUGAAAUAUUUUAGGCCUUUUUAUAUUCUUCUAUUUUUGCACAUAUAAAUAAAUCGUCUCGCGUUUUAGCCUAGAUCUAAACGAAUUUUAACUAGUUAUCGUGGACCAUUACCACACGCUCUAGCUGACAAACAUCUGUAUUGAUUUUGAGCACUUGACAAUAAACAACUCUUCGGCGAAAUUACGCUUAUGAUCAAUUACCGAACCGAAUCACAAUCACCAAUCGCGA